This 253-nucleotide ribosomal RNA is filed under the name uncultured bacterium. Its description in RNAcentral is "partial 16S ribosomal RNA". It matches the Rfam family "Bacterial small subunit ribosomal RNA", at positions 524 to 776 of the family's 1533-position model. The record is from RNAcentral.
AACGUAGGAGGCUAGCGUUAUCCGGAUUUACUGGGCGUAAAGCGCAUGCAGGCGGCAUGGCAAGUUGGGCGUGAAAUCUCUCGGCUUAACCGGGAGGGGUCGUCCAAAACUGUCAAGCUUGGGUGCAGGAGAGGGAAGCGGAAUUUCCAGUGUAGCGGUAAUAUGCGCAGAUAUUGGAAAGAACACCAGUGGCGAAGGCGGCUUCCUGGCCUGUAACCGACGCUAAGAUGCGAAAGCUAGGGGAGCGAACGGG